Tachyglossus aculeatus (Australian echidna) is the source of this 138-nucleotide small nucleolar RNA. The record is from RefSeq and is a predicted model, not a curated record. NCBI's taxonomy places the organism in Eukaryota, Metazoa, Chordata, Mammalia, Monotremata, Tachyglossidae.
CCCCUCUCAGGGUCGCACCAGGAGAGUUUCCAGUACUCGACCACUCACGACUACAGGAGGGAGAGUCAAGCAGAGGCAUACUCAUUCCAUUCCUAGCUUGGCCAGUAGCUAGUGAGUGGAAAGCAAUCUGCUACAAGU